GGAGCUUCUAGAGGAGGUCCAGAGCGUGUCAUGUUGGAAUUUGAUGGUCGUAACUAUUUUUUAGCUGAUUUAUACUAUUGUAGAUUACGAAAAAAUAUUAAAAGACUACUCUACAACUUACAAAUCUGCAUCAUAUUAAACCGCUUUAUGAAAUUCCAUUUUAACAGUUUUACUUGUACCAUACAUGAUACAUAAUAUCUCUUGUAAACGAUUUCUAUUAGUCUGGUAUAAUUGAUGAUAAAUCAUAUUUUUUGGAACUCUUAGUAAAACUACUAGACUAACAAAAGAUUUCCACUAUUCUAACUAUUUAAAUAAUAAAAAAAAUUGCUGUA
RNAcentral lists this long non-coding RNA (332 nucleotides) under Brassica napus (rape). RNAcentral's name for it is "long non-coding RNA (BNAP_LNC013129)". The record is from RNAcentral. Lineage: Eukaryota; Viridiplantae; Streptophyta; Magnoliopsida; Brassicales; Brassicaceae.